GGCCGCCUGGCGAAAUGGCAUCGCGUCUGACUACGAUAAUUGUAAUCAGGAGAUUGCAGGUUCGACCCCUGCGGUGGUCA
This 80-nucleotide transfer RNA is filed under the name Agaricus bisporus var. bisporus H97. Its description in RNAcentral is "tRNA-Arg". It matches the Rfam family "tRNA". Rfam says of the family: Transfer RNA (tRNA) molecules are approximately 80 nucleotides in length. Their secondary structure includes four short double-helical elements and three loops (D, anti-codon, and T loops). Lineage: Eukaryota; Fungi; Basidiomycota; Agaricomycetes; Agaricales; Agaricaceae. The record is from RNAcentral.